ACCGCGGUAGCGCAGUUGGUUAGGGCGUCAACAGUACUGAAGGUCGCAGGUUCAAAUCCUGCCAGCGGUG
Phthorimaea operculella (potato tuberworm) is the source of this 70-nucleotide non-coding RNA. NCBI's taxonomy places the organism in Eukaryota, Metazoa, Arthropoda, Insecta, Lepidoptera, Gelechiidae. The record is from the annotation of a GenBank genome assembly.